UGUCACCUGGAAAUGAUUGGACUUUAUUCGCGCAGCAUAGGUGGGAGGCGUUGAAAAUAUUCUUGCGGGAAUAUUGGAGCCAUCAGUGAGAUACCACUCUUGUAAUGUUAGAUUUCUAACUUUGUAUCAUUAUCUGGUCAAAGAACAGUUUCAGGCGGGCAGUUUGACUGGGGCGGUCGCCUCCCAAACGGUAACGGAGGCGCACAAAGGUUUCCUCUGAACGGGUAGAAAUCGUAUCUAGAGUGUAAAGGCAUAAGGAAGCUUGACUGUGAGACCUACAAGUCGAGCAGGGACGAAAGUCGGUCUUAGUGAUCUGACGGUGCUGAGUGGAAAGGCCGUCACUCAACGGAUAAAAGUUACUCUAGGGAUAACAGGCUGAACCG
This 383-nucleotide ribosomal RNA is filed under the name uncultured organism. RNAcentral's name for it is "bacterial LSU rRNA". It matches the Rfam family "Bacterial large subunit ribosomal RNA", at positions 2105 to 2489 of the family's 2925-position model. The record is from RNAcentral.